Molecule: ribosomal RNA, 416 nt
Filed under: uncultured bacterium
Lineage: Bacteria
Description: bacterial SSU rRNA
Rfam family: Archaeal small subunit ribosomal RNA
Source: RNAcentral
GUGCCAGCAGCCGCGGUAACACCGGCAGCCCAAGUGGUGGCCGCUUUUAUUGGGCCUAAAGCGUCCGUAGCCGGCCAGGUAAGUCCCUGUGUAAAUCUUCAGGCUUAACUUGAAGAAUUGCGGGGAUACUGCUUGGCUUGGGGCCGGAAGACGUGGAGGGUACUCCGGGGGUAGCGGUGAAAUGCUGUAAUCCUCGGGGGACCACCAGUGGCGAAGGCUCUCCACGAGGACGGGCCCGACGGUGAGGGACGAAAGCCAGGGGCGCGAACGGGAUUAGAUACCCCGGUAGUCCUGGCCGUAAACGCUGCAGGCUUGGUGUUGCACGCUCUACGGGGGCGUGCAGUGCCGAAGCGAAGGCGAUAAGCCUGCCGCCUGGGAAGUACGCUCGCAAGAGUGAAACUCAAAUGAAUUGGCGG